ACACAUGCAAGUCGAGGGGCAGCAUGAACUUAGCUUGCUAAGUUUGAUGGCGACCGGCGCACGGGUGAGUAACACGUAUCCAACCUUCCGUUUACUCAGGGAUAGCCUUUCGAAAGAAAGAUUAAUACCUGAUAGUAUGGUGAGAUUGCAUGAUAACACCAUUAAAGAUUUAUUGGUAAACGAUGGGGAUGCGUUCCAUUAGGUAGUAGGCGGGGUAACGGCCCACCUAGCCUGCGAUGGAUAGGGGUUCUGAGAGGAAGGUCCCCCACAUUGGAACUGAGACACGGUCCAAACUCCUACUGGAGGCAGCAGUGAGGAAUAUUGGUCAAUGGGCGAGAGCCUGAACCAGCCAAGUAGCGUGAAGGAUGAAGGUCCUACGGAUUGUAAACUUCUUUUAUACGGGAAUAAAGUUUCCUACGUGUAGGAUUUUGUAUGUACCGUAUGAAUAAGCAUCGGCUAACUCCGUGCCAGCAGCCGCGGUAAUACGGAGGAUGCGAGCGUUAUCCGGAUUUAUUGGGUUUAAAGGGAGCGCAGACGGGAGAUUAAGUCAGUUGUGAAAGUUUGCGGCUCAACCGUAAAAUUGCAGUUGAUACUGGUUUCCUUGAGUGCAGUUGAGGCAGGCGGAAUUCGUGGUGUAGCGGUGAAAUGCUUAGAUAUCACGAAGAACCCCGAUUGCGAAGGCAGCUUGCUAAACUGUAACUGACGUU
This 707-nucleotide ribosomal RNA is filed under the name uncultured bacterium. RNAcentral's name for it is "bacterial SSU rRNA". It matches the Rfam family "Bacterial small subunit ribosomal RNA", at positions 51 to 747 of the family's 1533-position model. The record is from RNAcentral.